RNAcentral lists this ribosomal RNA (283 nucleotides) under Staphylococcus aureus. RNAcentral's name for it is "partial 16S ribosomal RNA". It matches the Rfam family "Bacterial small subunit ribosomal RNA", at positions 1259 to 1533 of the family's 1533-position model. Lineage: Bacteria; Bacillati; Bacillota; Bacilli; Caryophanales; Staphylococcaceae. The record is from RNAcentral.
GAGGUCAAGCAAAUCCCAUAAAGUUGUUCUCAGUUCGGAUUGUAGUCUGCAACUCGACUACAUGAAGCUGGAAUCGCUAGUAAUCGUAGAUCAGCAUGCUACGGUGAAUACGUUCCCGGGUCUUGUACACACCGCCCGUCACACCACGAGAGUUUGUAACACCCGAAGCCGGUGGAGUAACCUUUUAGGAGCUAGCCGUCGAAGGUGGGACAAAUGAUUGGGGUGAAGUCGUAACAAGGUAGCCGUAUCGGAAGGGGCGGCUGGAUCACCUCCUUUCUAAGGA